CCUACGGGGGGCUGCAGUAAGGAAUAUUGCACAAUGGGGGAAACCCAGAUGCAGCAACGCCGCGUGAGCGAAGAAGGCCUUCGGGUCGUAAAGCUCUUUUCUGGGGGAUGAGGAAGGACGGUACCCCAGGAAUAAGUCUCGGCUAACUACGUGCCAGCAGCCGCGGUAAAACGUAGGAGGCGAGCGUUAUCCGGAUUCACUGGGCGUAAAGGGCAAGUAGGCGGUUGUCUAAGUUGGGCGUGACAACUCCCGGCUCAACUGGGAGAGGUCGUUCAAUACUGGAUGACUGGAGGGCAGGAGAGGAAAGUGGAAUUCCUGGUGUAGCGGUGGAAUGCUCAGAUACCAGGAGGAACACCAGUGGCGAAGGCGGCUUUCUGGCCUGCACCUGACGCUGAGAGGCGAAAGCUAGGGGAGCGAACGGGCUUAGAUACCCUGGUAGUC
RNAcentral lists this ribosomal RNA (441 nucleotides) under uncultured Caldilineaceae bacterium. RNAcentral describes it as "bacterial SSU rRNA". It matches the Rfam family "Bacterial small subunit ribosomal RNA", at positions 338 to 795 of the family's 1533-position model. Lineage: Bacteria; Bacillati; Chloroflexota; Caldilineae; Caldilineales; Caldilineaceae. The record is from RNAcentral.